This is a long non-coding RNA of Cavia porcellus (domestic guinea pig), 3335 nucleotides long. RefSeq lists it as uncharacterized. NCBI's taxonomy places the organism in Eukaryota, Metazoa, Chordata, Mammalia, Rodentia, Caviidae. The transcript has 2 exons. The record is from RefSeq and is a predicted model, not a curated record.
GCGGGAAGCCAGGCUCCAUGAAUGUCUCUUAAAUACCAAAGGCCAAUUCACACCAUUCAAUAUUCAAAUCGGAAUCCUACGUGCUAUGCCUUGCUGCGGAGUCUUCUAGCUUCUGGGCAUAAUUUGCUUAAUUUGACUCCGCGUUGCCAGCUGCCUGCUCUCAGCAGCACUGAAGACGCGCAGGGCCAGCAGCACCUGACGGCUUCAAUCACCGCAGGCUGAGCCUGGCAGCUGUCGGUAUAAGCAGUCCUAUUCUGCAGUGAUUUUAAUAGUGAUUAAAAUACCGAGGACGAGUUUGCAAAAGCCCAGAUUGCAGCCCGAAUGGUUUAAUUUAGAGCAGUGACACCCUGUACUCGUGGCGACCCCACGACCGCCGCCGUCGGGCUAGAUUUAGGGGUUGGGCUAGGCGACUCGCUGGAUCCUCAGCGCCGGGGGUGGCUGGGCCGGCGGGCAGGGCGGAUCCCAACCUCCUGCCUCGCUCAGAAUCGGCCCAGUGGCAGAGCCGCCGCAGGGAGGACGCGUCGCGCAGCACCAGCUCGGCCUCACAGCGCGCAGGGAAGCCGGCGAGGGUGAAGAGGACAGGAGCUUGCAGAAAUCCUUCCAGGAUGAGAAGACAGAGCCCGGCAGCUGGAGCUGUUGUAACCUCCCUCCGACACCCUGAAUUCCCUCCACCAGGCUGGUGGGACCAAGGGUCAAGCCUUCAAGUGGGCCCCUGGCCCUCUGCCCUGGCCUGCAGGGGGCAGGGAUUGAACUGGCUCCCAAGUUGCCUCAGAGGGUCACCCAUGUGACAGUGACUGCCCAACCUCACCCGCCAGCAGAAAUCAAAGGGGUCAGGGAUUUUUUCCUCCGAGGAAAACAACAUUGAUUCCGUAAGAUGACACAUACACUGCAAGAGUCGAGUGGAACCAUAGGAAAUCUGUGUCUAUUUAUAAGACAAAGUUAAGCCCACCAAAGUCUACAAAUCACAGAGCGCUUGGGUCCAGGGUCAGGACAGAGUGCUGGUCCUGCAGUCAGGCCAUCCUGGGCCACCGGCCUACAUGUCAUAGAGCCGGAGCUGCUCCUGCAUGUCGCCAUCGGACAUCUCGCCGAAAGUCUCCUUGUGGUCCUUCAUGAGCUUGAAGAUGGCAGCCAGCUGCUCUUUCUGAACUCUGUCGAGAAGAAGGCAGAAGAGGAAAAAGAGGCUCCUACGCCAGCAGCCAGGGAGCAAGCGUGCAGCUGUGGGGAGGUAGGGAUGGAGGACGGGUCGCUCUCCUCCACUGCUCCCACCUUUGCUGUUCGGUGUAAGGGUAAAGAAAACGAGCAAUGAUGCACAUCUGUAAUUCUAGCACAGGGAAGGCUGAGGCAGGAGGAGCGCUGUGAGUUUAAGGCCAGCGUAGGCUACAUAGUGAGUUCAAGGCCAGCCAUUGCAAGAUGCUCUCAAAAACAAAAAACAGGAUGAAACUCAUUUAAACUAUAGAUGCCGGUUUGUUCUAACACUCCACACUGGGAUUCUACAUUUCAGAUUCAAUCUAGAGGUUGGGGGGCCCACAAGUAUCUCUUUGCAUCCCAUGGAGAUGCUUCGCUUUCCCCAUGUGGAUCGGUAUCUUCUAGUAAGGCAAGGCAGAGGAGGACACCUCCCGUGACACAGCUUGAGCUUGCUGGAAAAGACAGCCCCUGAUUCAAGGCACUGGCCAGAGAGCUUAUGAAUGGGAAGUCGGGCAAAGGGGUGCAGAAGGGAGGGGGAGGCCCACGCUGUGAGGUUUUCCUGCCAGAGAAAGGGGCGCUUAUGCUUUGCACAAAGAUGUCCUUUGGCAGGUGGUGGCCGCAUCCCUCUUGCCACAGACGUGGGCGAGGACUGACAUUGUGCUUACUGCACUCAGGCUGUUAUCUUUACAAGGCGGGGUAGCACCAUCUGCCGGCACAGGGCAACUCCCACAGCAAACACAAAGGGUGGGGUGGGCCCCAGGAGCCAGGGGACGUCAUGGUGUGUUGUUUGUUCCCUUCUGGCACCCUCUCCCUAUGCUGUCCUCACUUCUGUGGUUCCUGUCCUCCACAUCACAGCGCUGGCUUGACACCUUGUGAGGAGAGAGACCACACUGCGGGUCGGACCUCCCAGCCCUUCCCAGAGGGGUCUGGUCGCCCCAUCGGUCAGUAUGGUGCAGGCUUUACCAGUUUCCAGGCUGCCAGCAGCCCACACAUUCCCCAGAAGCCGGUCUCGACCUCUGGACUCAUAUUUGCUUACCAUACUUCUGCAAUAUCCCUCCUCCUGCCCCCAUAUCUUCCGCCCAGCUGCCAGGUGGCACACACAGGUUCAAAUACUGAAGCAAUCCUCAGCCUCCUUUAUCUAGAUUAGUUGAAAACCACAAUGUGUUUAAAUUUUUAAAAAUUGAUUAUAAUAAGAGAAGCAUUGCCACGAACCCCCCUCACACGCUUCAAACACACGGAUCCCAUCACUCUGGACACUUUCUGAAGCAGCUCUGGAAGUCCUCUUUCGUGAGCCUUUAAUCCCACGGCCGAGAUGUCCUGGACCAAUCCCAAACAUUCACCUCUUGUGGUCGUUUUGACCUGGGGAAGAACCAGAGUCCCGUGGCACCACACUCAGUGGCUAAGGUGGGUGAGGACUUGGCGGACUGUUUUUGGAGCCCGCCUUUGUGUUGGACAGCAAUGGACAGCAGCAAGUGUUCACAUUCUGUGUGUAGCUCACAGAUACGCACCAGAGAGGAUUCCAGAAGUGAUUCAGAAAGUGGCAAGAACAAUAAGGCACGUGUGCAAAGCAAAGGGGGUGCUUUUUGAGAGGACCAACAGCAAUGUCGUCUGUAAUCAGUUUUUAAAAUUUAAACGUUCUCUGCAGUUUUCCACUCCUCGUGUGGUCAGCUCCACUGUCUGGAUGCAUUCUGUACCCUGCAGUCCAAAGAAACAGGAAUUUUUUAAAAAGAAGGAGGGAUCGUGAACCGGAAGUCAUGUGCAGAGCACGGGAUGGACUCCCUCCCAUCUGCACCAGGGCAUCUCCCUGAAUUAUUACAAGCUACUCCACACGGUGGCUGCGGCCAUUGCGUAUUUUAAACAGGCUGGGCACAAGGCCUCAUACUCUGUGGAAGAAUGACAGAGCAUGAAAAUGAAACAGAGCCAGGCGUGGUGGCACAUGCCUGUAAUCCCAGCACUUGGGAGGCCGAGGUAGGAGGACCAUGGUGAGUUCCAGGCCAGCCUGGGCUACAAAGUGAGUUCAAGGCCAGCCUGAAAUUCAUAGUGAAACCCCCCUCAAAAAGACAAAAAGAAAAAAGAAAGAGGUAAAAUGAAAGAGAACUCAGUUGAAUCAGUUCCAAAGAGGCUAUUAAAAAAAAAAAAAAAAAAAAAAA